GUCAUCGGCUCUUCCUUCUUCCGUUGCCGAGCACAGGACGGUGCUGCCGCGUGGCUACCGCAGGCUGAGCACCGCCCACGCCGGCCAAUGGGGUCGCCAGGAUCCCGAGCCUUAUCCUCCCCUCUCUCCCCGCUCCCUCAUCUCCCCGCUAAACCUCGCCACAGAACAAGCGAGCGCAGCACAGAGCCAUCACAGAGAGAGACCGAUGCGCCGCCACCAAAUCCAGCUGUGCCAAGGGCAAAUCCGACGAACCGAGAAGGGGAAAGUGAGGUGGGAGGUCCAACGAAGCUCCUCCGACGAGUUCCGGCCCGCAUCCCACCGUCUCUCCACCGAAUUUGGGCGCUCUGCUUGUUUCUUCCUCCGCUCUGGCGGGAUUCCGCAAUCUCAUCGAUGACACCACACUGCUGAGCGCCUCCGACCAAAUCCGUAGCACGGUGAACAUCACCAGCCUUCGUCCAAGGUCUCGCGCGCGCUCCAUCCUCUUCGGCCCGGCGCCGGCGCGUCUCCCCUCACGGACCGAGCGCCGCCAGGCCAAGGUGCUUGCCGCCGGCACCUUUCCGACCGAGCCCAUCCGCCCAGUACCCCUUCACCACGUUCGCCGUUGUGCGCUGGAGCUAUCAGUGCUGAUACCUCAUCCUUUCGUCGCCGGGUUCGUUGCCGGUGAGCUGUGCCGCCGAGUUCGUGCACGCUCGCCGGCAGGAGGUCUGCCGGUAAAGCUGUUGACCAGGCCACAGGGCCAUGGCCCCACUGUUCAAUCUCCUUCGCAAGCAAGGAAUCGGUGUUAAAAGCCCUGCACUGUGUUUAUUUCGUUUAAAACCGAAAAAAUGUGAAAAUGAUUAUUUGUUCUAUUGCUUAAUUGGCUGAAGCAAUGUAAAAUGCACAGAGAAUUCUUUGUAGCUCCAAAAAUGGCAAAGUAAAUUUUGUUAGCUUUAUAUGUUCAUAGUUUACUUGAUUUAAAUAUGUUAAAUUUUGUUUAAAUCAGUAUUAAUUCAUGGUAAGUCUAAAAUUGGUAAAUACAGUUCUAAUAAGCUUUAUAAUUAGAGUACUUUCUAGAAAAUUAUUGGUCAGCAUGCUAGAGGAGUUUGUCCCAUUAUUUUAGCACAUGUGUGGUCUCACAUUGUUAACUUCUAAAAUUUGUGCAGAAAUUAAUAAAAAAUGAUUUAGUAGUGAUACCACUUCUAAAAAUCAUUAUUUGUCUACCCCUACAGAUGAAUAAUGGUGAAUGGCAUAUUAGGUGUUGUCUUGACAUCAACUUUGUUUAAAUGCACAUCUUUUAUUUUGUUUAAGCAUUCUAGAUAGCACCUCCCAUAUUUGGUUAUAUCAUGAGCUUAUAUGCAUUACUUCACGUAAUUCUUGUUCUAUCAUGUUCUUUUCUUAGUGCACUACUUUCAUAUGCAUUUUUAUAGCAUUUGAAUCACUUCACAUUGCAUUUUAUUCAUACUCAUUGCAUUGAACACACUCUUUCUUUAGAGAACGAAGAGUCAGAGAGCGACAUGGGUGUGAUCAAAGGCAUGUAUGAGUUAGUCCAUGGCUACUUCGUACCCACCGAUGUCAGUGACGGGCAAGAGUAGCGGUGUGCUACUUGUGAUUACUUUGGUGGUGCCUUAGAGCAAAUGACACCACCUGUUUUGUUAUUUUAGAUAUUAUUUCUGUUGCGUAUUGAUAUUACCUUGCUAGGAUAUAAAAUUGUUGUAUUUUGCUUAUUAUAGCGCUUGUUGAUGUCAUGUUGAGAGUCAGAACUUGUUUAUUAGACUCUCAUCUUUCAAUUUCAGUAUGCAAUACUUUUAAAUUGUUAAGCUUGUAAUGCUUUAAAAACUUGUAAUCUAUUUAAAUUGCUCACUCUUUAUUAUAUCUUGA
Long non-coding RNA from Phragmites australis (common reed), 1857 nucleotides. RefSeq lists it as uncharacterized. The transcript has 2 exons. NCBI's taxonomy places the organism in Eukaryota, Viridiplantae, Streptophyta, Magnoliopsida, Poales, Poaceae. The record is from RefSeq and is a predicted model, not a curated record.